Molecule: ribosomal RNA, 467 nt
Filed under: uncultured bacterium
Lineage: Bacteria
Description: partial 16S ribosomal RNA
Rfam family: Bacterial small subunit ribosomal RNA
Source: RNAcentral
GACGAACGCUGGCGGCGUGCUUAACACAUGCAAGUCGAACGGAAAGGCCCUGCUUUUGUGGGGUGCUCGAGUGGCGAACGGGUGAGUAACACGUGAGUAACCUGCCCUUGACUUUGGGAUAACUUCAGGAAACUGGGGCUAAUACCGGAUAGGAGCUCCUGCUGCAUGGUGGGGGUUGGAAAGUUUCGGCGGUUGGGGAUGGACUCGCGGCUUAUCAGCUUGUUGGUGGGGUAGUGGCUUACCAAGGCUUUGACGGGUAGCCGGCCUGGGAGGGUGACCGGCCCAAUUGGACUGAGGGACGGGCCCGGACUCCUCCGGGGGGAAGCGGUGGGAAUUUUUCCACAAGGGGCGGAGGCCGGGGGCAGCAACCCCGGUUCGGGAAGAACGGCCUUGGGGUUGUAACCCGUUUUCGCUUGUAAGGAGGCGUAGUUAACGUAAAUGGUAAAGAAGCACCGGCUAACUACGUG